GUCGUUGCCUUGGCAGUCUCAGGCGAUGAAAGACGUGGUAGCCUGCGAAAAGCUUCGGGGAGUCGGCAAACAGACUUUGAUCCGGAGAUCUCUGAAUGGGGGAACCCACCUAGGAUAACCUAGGUAUCUUGUACUGAAUCCAUAGGUGCAAGAGGCGAACCAGGGGAACUGAAACAUCUAAGUACCCUGAGGAAAAGAAAUCAACCGAGAUUCCCUUAGUAGUGGCGAGCGAACGGGGAUUAGCCCUUAAGCUUCAUUGAUUUUAGCGGAACGCUCUGGAAAGUGCGGCCAUAGUGGGUGAUAGCCCCGUACGCGAAAGGAUCUUUGAAGUGAAAUCGAGUAGGACGGAGCACGAGAAACUUUGUCUGAACAUGGGGGGACCAUCCUCCAAGGCUAAAUACUACUGACUGACCGAUAGUGAACCAGUACCGUGAGGGAAAGGCGAAAAGAACCCCGGAGAGGGGAGUGAAAUAGAACCUGAAACCGUAUGCGUACAAGCAGUGGGAGCCUACUUGUUAGGUGACUGCGUACCUUUUGUAUAAUGGGUCAGCGACUUAUAUUCAGUGGCAAGCUUAACCGUAUAGGGUAGGCGUAGCGAAAGCGAGUCUUAAUAGGGCGUUUAGUCGCUGGGUAUAGACCCGAAACCGGGCGAUCUAUCCAUGAGCAGGUUGAAGGUUAGGUAACACUGACUGGAGGACCGAACCCACUCCCGUUGAAAAGGUAGGGGAUGACUUGUGGAUCGGAGUGAAAGGCUAAUCAAGCUCGGAGAUAGCUGGUUCUCCUCGAAAGCUAUUUAGGUAGCGCCUCAUGUAUCACUCUGGGGGGUAGAGCACUGUUUCGGCUAGGGGGUCAUCCCGACUUACCAAACCGAUGCAAACUCCGAAUACCCAGAAGUGCCGAGCAUGGGAGACACACGGCGGGUGCUAACGUCCGUCGUGAAAAGGGAAACAACCCAGACCGCCAGCUAAGGUCCCAAAGUUGUGGUUAAGUGGUAAACGAUGUGGGAAGGCUUAGACAGCUAGGAGGUUGGCUUAGAAGCAGCCAUCCUUUAAAGAAAGCGUAAUAGCUCACUAGUCGAGUCGGCCUGCGCGGAAGAUGUAACGGGGCUCAAACCACACACCGAAGCUGCGGGUGUCACGUAAGUGACGCGGUAGAGGAGCGUUCUGUAAGCCUGUGAAGGUGAGUUGAGAAGCUUGCUGGAGGUAUCAGAAGUGCGAAUGCUGACAUGAGUAACGACAAUGGGUGUGAAAAACACCCACGCCGAAAGACCAAGGGUUCCUGCGCAACGUUAAUCGACGCAGGGUUAGUCGGUUCCUAAGGCGAGGCUGAAAAGCGUAGUCGAUGGGAAACAGGUUAAUAUUCCUGUACUUCUGGUUACUGCGAUGGAGGGACGGAGAAGGCUAGGCCAGCUUGGCGUUGGUUGUCCAAGUUUAAGGUGGUAGGCUGAAAUCUUAGGUAAAUCCGGGGUUUCAAGGCCGAGAGCUGAUGACGAGUCGUCUUUUAGAUGACGAAGUGGUUGAUGCCAUGCUUCCAAGAAAAGCUUCUAAGCUUCAGGUAACCAGGAACCGUACCCCAAACCGACACAGGUGGUCGGGUAGAGAAUACCAAGGCGCUUGAGAGAACUCGGGUGAAGGAACUAGGCAAAAUGGCACCGUAACUUCGGGAGAAGGUGCGCCGGCUAGGGUGAAGGAUUUACUCCGUAAGCUCUGGCUGGUCGAAGAUACCAGGCCGCUGCGACUGUUUAUUAAAAACACAGCACUCUGCAAACACGAAAGUGGACGUAUAGGGUGUGACGCCUGCCCGGUGCCGGAAGGUUAAUUGAUGGGGUUAGCGCAAGCGAAGCUCUUGAUCGAAGCCCCGGUAAACGGCGGCCGUAACUAUAACGGUCCUAAGGUAGCGAAAUUCCUUGUCGGGUAAGUUCCGACCUGCACGAAUGGCGUAACGAUGGCGGCGCUGUCUCCACCCGAGACUCAGUGAAAUUGAAAUCGCUGUGAAGAUGCAGUGUAUCCGCGGCUAGACGGAAAGACCCCGUGAACCUUUACUGUAGCUUUGCACUGGACUUUGAGCCUGCUUGUGUAGGAUAGGUGGGAGGCUUUGAAGCGUGGACGCCAGUUCGCGUGGAGCCAUCCUUGAAAUACCACCCUGGCAUGCUUGAGGUUCUAACUCUGGUCCGUAAUCCGGAUCGAGGACAGUGUAUGGUGGGCAGUUUGACUGGGGCGGUCUCCUCCUAAAGAGUAACGGAGGAGUACGAAGGUGCGCUCAGACCGGUCGGAAAUCGGUCGCAGAGUAUAAAGGCAAAAGCGCGCUUGACUGCGAGACAGACACGUCGAGCAGGUACGAAAGUAGGUCUUAGUGAUCCGGUGGUUCUGUAUGGAAGGGCCAUCGCUCAACGGAUAAAAGGUACUCCGGGGAUAACAGGCUGAUACCGCCCAAGAGUUCAUAUCGACGGCGGUGUUUGGCACCUCGAUGUCGGCUCAUCACAUCCUGGGGCUGAAGCCGGUCCCAAGGGUAUGGCUGUUCGCCAUUUAAAGUGGUACGCGAGCUGGGUUUAGAACGUCGUGAGACAGUUCGGUCCCUAUCUGCCGUGGACGUUUGAGAUUUGAGAGGGGCUGCUCCUAGUACGAGAGGACCGGAGUGGACGAACCUCUGGUGUUCCGGUUGUCACGCCAGUGGCAUUGCCGGGUAGCUAUGUUCGGAAAAGAUAACCGCUGAAAGCAUCUAAGCGGGAAACUUGCCUCAAGAUGAGAUCUCACUGGGAACUUGAUUCCCCUGAAGGGCCGUCGAAGACUACGACGUUGAUAGGCUGGGUGUGUAAGCGUUGUGAGGCGUUGAGCUAACCAGUACUAAUUGCCCGUGAGGCUUGACCAU
This 2868-nucleotide ribosomal RNA is filed under the name Pseudomonas aeruginosa. RNAcentral's name for it is "partial 23S ribosomal RNA". It matches the Rfam family "Bacterial large subunit ribosomal RNA". The record is from RNAcentral. Lineage: Bacteria; Pseudomonadati; Pseudomonadota; Gammaproteobacteria; Pseudomonadales; Pseudomonadaceae.